GGUAUCGGAUUUGCUAUUGCACCACAUGUGUUUUUCUUUGAAACAAACUUGCUUUGGCGGUGGGCCCAGCCUGCCGCCAGAGGUCUAAACUUACAACCAAUUUUUUAUCAACUUGUCACACCAGAUUAUUACUUAAUAGUCAAAACUUUCAACAACGGAUCUCUUGGUUCUCGCAUCGAUGAAGAACGCAGCGAAAUGCGAUACGUAAUAUGAAUUGCAGAUAUUCGUGAAUCAUCGAAUCUUUGAACGCACAUUGCGCCCUCUGGUAUUCCGGAGGGCAUGCCUGUUUGAGCGUCGUUUCUCCCUCAAACCGCUGGGUUUGGUGUUGAGCAAUACGACUUGGGUUUGCUUGAAAGACGGUAGUGGUAAGGCGGGAUCGCUUUGACAAUGGCUUAGGUCUAACCAAAAACAUUGCUUGCGGCGGUAACGUCUACCACGUAUAUCUUCAAACUUUGACCUCAAAUCAGGUAGGACUACCCGCUGAACUUAAGCAUAUCAAUAAGCGGAGGAA
RNAcentral lists this ribosomal RNA (511 nucleotides) under Candida albicans. RNAcentral describes it as "eukaryotic LSU rRNA". The stretch from base 144 to 297 matches the Rfam family "5.8S ribosomal RNA". The record is from RNAcentral. Lineage: Eukaryota; Fungi; Ascomycota; Pichiomycetes; Serinales; Debaryomycetaceae.